This 253-nucleotide ribosomal RNA is filed under the name uncultured bacterium. RNAcentral's name for it is "partial 16S ribosomal RNA". It matches the Rfam family "Bacterial small subunit ribosomal RNA", at positions 524 to 776 of the family's 1533-position model. The record is from RNAcentral.
UACGGAGGGUGCAAGCGUUAUCCGGAUUCACUGGGUUUAAAGGGUGCGUAGGUGGGUUGAUAAGUCAGUGGUGAAAUCCCCGAGCUUAACUUGGGAACUGCCAUUGAUACUAUUGAUCUUGAAUACCGUGGAGGUCAGCGGAAUAUGUCAUGUAGCGGUGAAAUGCUUAGAUAUGACAUAGAACACCAAUUGCGAAGGCAGCUGGCUACGCGAAUAUUGACACUGAUGCACGAAAGCGUGGGGAUCGAACAGG